Lates calcarifer (barramundi perch) is the source of this 621-nucleotide long non-coding RNA. RefSeq lists it as uncharacterized. Lineage: Eukaryota; Metazoa; Chordata; Actinopteri; Centropomidae. The record is from RefSeq and is a predicted model, not a curated record. The transcript has 4 exons.
CACCUUGACAGGUUGAGUGACUUUCUGUUGAUCUGUAAAGGAAGAAAAACAUCAUUGCAUUGGUCACAGCUGCUGAUGGUUUUAAGGUCGACUUGGACAGAAACACCAACACCACCUUGCAGACCAGCAGGUGUCACCACUUCAUCGAUGACGUCGUCCACGAUCGCAGAGAAUCUUCGCACAAUGAAGUUCUUUGAGACCAGGACAGAGGCCUCCAGGAGACGACAGCAGCUGAAGUUCUGGACCUGAAGUGGAUCAAAGAAAACAACACGGUUCAUGAGACUGGUUAUGAUUUACAGAUAAACCUUAAACACCAGAGACCGGUGUUGUCCCGCCUCCUCUACACCGCCUCCUCCCCCUCAACCACCAGGAGGCGCUUUGUUUUCUGUUCUGUCUCUGCAGGAAGAGGAGUCCACAUCACCUGAAGAGGACAGCACAAGUAAUUAAAGAGAUGAUACGAGAUGUGCACGUCUUUCAUAAGCUUAUCCUCAUGUGUGCUCAUCACUUUAUUAAAUGUGAGGUGAGAGAAUAAAACAAAGCGUCUCCAAAUGGUUGUUGUUGUUAUCUUUGCUGUGAUUUGUUAAAUGUCUACAUCUAAAUCAAUAAAGUUUUGUAACUUAA